RNAcentral lists this ribosomal RNA (718 nucleotides) under uncultured Bacilli bacterium. RNAcentral's name for it is "bacterial SSU rRNA". It matches the Rfam family "Bacterial small subunit ribosomal RNA", at positions 50 to 757 of the family's 1533-position model. The record is from RNAcentral. Lineage: Bacteria; Bacillati; Bacillota; Bacilli.
AUUAUUGAAAGGUGCUUGCAUCUUGAUUUUAAUUUUGAACGAGUGGCGGACGGGUGAGUAACACGUGGGUAACCUGCCCUUAAGUGGGGGAUAACAUUUGGAAACAGAUGCUAAUACCGCAUAAAUCCAAGAACCGCAUGGUUCUUGGCUGAAAGAUGGCGUAAGCUAUCGCUUUUGGAUGGACCCGCGGCGUAUUAGCUAGUUGGUGAGGUAACGGCUCACCAAGGCAAUGAUACGUAGCCGAACUGAGAGGUUGAUCGGCCACAUUGGGACUGAGACACGGCCCAAACUCCUACGGGAGGCAGCAGUAGGGAAUCUUCCACAAUGGACGCAAGUCUGAUGGAGCAACGCCGCGUGAGUGAAGAAGGCUUUCGGGUCGUAAAACUCUGUUGUUGGAGAAGAAUGGUCGGCAGAGUAACUGUUGUCGGCGUGACGGUAUCCAACCAGAAAGCCACGGCUAACUACGUGCCAGCAGCCGCGGUAAUACGUAGGUGGCAAGCGUUAUCCGGAUUUAUUGGGCGUAAAGCGAGCACAGGCGGUUUUUUAAGUCUGAUGUGAAAGCCCUCGGCUUAACCGAGGAAGUGCAUCGGAAACUGGGAAACUUGAGUGCAGAAGAGGACAGUGGAACUCCAUGUGUAGCGGUGAAAUGCGUAGAUAUAUGGAAGAACACCAGUGGCGAAGGCGGCUGUCUGGUCUGUAACUGACGCUGAGGCUCGAA